UGAUCAGCAUGCCGCGUGUGUGAAGAAGGCCUUCGGGUUGUAAAGCACUUUUGUCCGGAAAGAAAUCUUCUGCCCUAAUACGGCGGGAGGAUGACGGUACCGGAAGAAUAAGCACCGGCUAACUACGUGCCAGCAGCCGCGGUAAUACGUAGGGUGCGAGCGUUAAUCGGAAUUACUGGGCGUAAAGCGUGCGCAGGCGGUUCGCUAAGACCGAUGUGAAAUCCCCGGGCUUAACCUGGGAACUGCAUUGGUGACUGGCGGGCUAGAGUGUGGCAGAGGGGGGUAGAAUUCCACGUGUAGCAGUGAAAUGCGUAGAGAUGUGGAGGAAUACCGAUGGCGAAGGCAGCCCCCUGGGCCAACACUGACGCUCAUGCACGAAAGCGUGGGGAGCAAACAGGAUUAGAUACCCUGGUAGUCCACGCCCUAAACGAUGUCAACUAGUUGUUGGGGAUUCAUUUCCUUAGUAACGUAGCUAACGCGUGAAGUUGACCGCCUGGGGAGUACGGUCGCAAGAUUAAAACUCAAAGGAAUUGACGGA
RNAcentral lists this ribosomal RNA (538 nucleotides) under uncultured bacterium. Its description in RNAcentral is "bacterial SSU rRNA". It matches the Rfam family "Bacterial small subunit ribosomal RNA", at positions 384 to 917 of the family's 1533-position model. The record is from RNAcentral.